Molecule: non-coding RNA, 3410 nt
Organism: Rattus norvegicus (Norway rat)
Lineage: Eukaryota; Metazoa; Chordata; Mammalia; Rodentia; Muridae
Source: RefSeq, a predicted model, not a curated record
CGGUUAGAAGGCUGCUACUCCCUGCAUUCUGCAGGCGGAGCUCUGAGAAUCAAAGCAAGGUACCCCAGGUCUCACAGCUAGUGCAGUUGUGCGUGGCUGCCCCGGGAGAUGGUUUCAUGAAGCAGAAACCUGUCCUUCCUGUGGCAGUUAGGUGCCAGGACCACUCUCAACCCCUGUGGUCUUCUACCAGAUAUCCAUUUAGAGAUGAGACCCUUCCUGCCUCCUCCUUGCUAAUGGACCCAUUACACCAACAAGUCUAUCAAAAGUGGGGACUCUCAGGGAACUUGCCAGCGAAGGAGUGGCUUUAAGAUGGAGCCAAACAAUAUGUGGAGGCCAAAAUAUGAGCUCAGUAACAAACUGGGAGACCAGCCCCCCUAAGUAGAUGAAGGUGUCAGGAGAGAUGAAGGUGUCAGGAGAGAUGAAGGUGUCAGGAGAGCAGAGGUCAUGUGUGAACAAGGGUGGAUGUGCUGCACCUCUCUUCCUGCCAUUUCUGCAUGUAGCUCUUCUCACGUCCUGCAGGGCCUGCUCUCCAUCCCUUUUGAGGCCUGCAAGCCAGAGCCACCCCUGGUUGGCUCCUUCACUCAGGCACAUCCUCCACUGUGCUCUCAAGCCAGCCACAGUACCUUUACCACCAUCUGUGGCAGUCCUAAGGCCUCAGAAAAGGGCACUGGCUCGGGACGGCUCCCAGGGAAAGCUGUAUCUCUUCCCCAGGUGCUGAGAGUGGCAGCGGUGACCUAGAGGCCGCUAAUUUCUCCUCCAAGCAAUCACACCGGUCUGACCCACGUUUCCCACGAGCACGCGGCGAUGAGCUCUGCCAAAUGCUUGUUUAUAUCAACAGGCCUAUUGUGUUUCCCUUAACCACCAAGCCUUUUAUCCCGUGGAGGGGAAGAAAAGCGAGUUAAUUUGACGUGAUUCGUCUCUGACACGUCCACAUUGUCUACUUUUUUUCUUUCAAUCCCUGCGUUUCCUCUGUGGCAUGAUGUGCCAUGCAGGAGCACAAUCUCUGGCGUAAAGCCGAGCGCCUGGGGAAGUGAUUCAGGUGAGAGUCAGGAGGCCUAGGUCUGGGUGUGCGAGGCCCCUUUGCUCUGCUUAGCCACCUGCCAACCGUUUCUUGGCCUUGUUUGUAAAGGGGAUGAGGUUUGAAUAGCUCCAUCUGCACCCCCUCUUCCCCGUGCUACCUUAGGACCCUUCCAAGCAAGAGUGACAGUCAGCCUGCGUGAGUACUCAGUGACGCUGAGCGGAGCAGGCCGGCUCCACUGGGAGCUGUCCGUAUGGCUCUAAACCGUUCCAGCAGGUCCAUGUCCACGUUGCCGGUCCUGUGAUCUGGAACCCACUCCACUUUUCCUCACAUUCCUCCAGUCUCCCUUCCCAGCCUUUCCCUCCCAAUCCAUUCUUCAUCUCACUGCCAAGAUAAUCCUUCUCAAAGCUUCCCCCUCACAUGAGUAUUCUACUUAGAACAUCUGGUAGCAGCUUCCUGCUGCCUCCCUAGCAGGCUGAAGGCUCCUCUCUCUCCCCAAGUAUCUUCUUUCUUCACUGAGGUUCUGGGUCACUUUCAUAACAUGCCAGCCUCCUCGCUGAGCCAUUGUGCUCUGUCCCCAGUGCUCUUCCCUGACUCUUAAAUGACCUUCAGAUCUCAGCUCAUGCUGCCUCAAGGAACUGCUCCAAUCCAGUGGUUCUCGACUUGUGGGUCGUGACCUCUUUGGGAGUCAAAUGACCCUUUCACAGGGGUCACAUAUCAGAUAUCCUGCAUAUCAGAUAUCUACUUCACGAUUCGUAACAGUGGAAAAUUACAGUUAUGAAGUAGCAAAUCAUUUUAUGGUUGGGGCUCACCCUAACAGGAGGAACUGUAUGAAAGGGCUGCAGUGUUAGGAAGGUUGAGAACGACUCCCCAUAUCCUUUCCUUAAGACUCUACGAGAGAGUUCUGCUCAGUGCUUUAAGAACCAGUUACCUCCUGAGUCUCCAGACUGUCAGUCCCAUAACAGAGUUCAGUCUUGAUGCCUGUCUGUGUCCUCAACCCGAUGUUUGCCACUUACUAUUCACUCAGUAAAUAUUUGCAGCGUGAUGUAAACUAAUCCUCUCGGGUGUAUUAAAACCUGAUUAUUACAUGGUAGCCAGCUCAUUGCUGUAGUAAUUUCUUAAAAUCAAACAAAAAUCAGCUGGGGGCAUAGCUCAGGUGCUCAGGUGCUUAACCAGCAUGAACAAAGUCCUAGGUUCAAUCCCCAGCACCACAUAAAACUAGGUGUGGUGGCACACCCCUGUGAUCCCUGCUCUUGGAAGAUGGAAACAGGAUCAAAAAUUCAAGGUCACUCUCAGGUAUAAAUCGAGUUUGAGGCCAGCCUGGGACAUGUUAGUCCCUAUCUCAAAUAAAUAAAUAAAAAUAGGCAUUUGUUCAAGCUGGAGCUACAGUUUGUCUCUGGUCUUCCUGGUAACCAAAGCCAAGAAGGGAAACAGUGACUUGCAUAACUGCUUCAGAUCUGCUACAAAACAUCUCUGUCACACAAGGGAAAGUAUCACCUCUUUUUCUUUCUCCAUUCCACUUGCAGUUUCAAGGGAGGGGCUACUCCAAAAGAGCCCUGGGACUCAUUGGCUAAUGUCACCCUUGGGUACAGUAAGCAAAGCCCACUCUCAUCGUGACUGAGGCGCCUCUGCAGGAAUCUGCACGUGUCCCUAUGAGAACUGCACGGGUCUUCCCCAUUCUACCCAGAGGUCCUGCAGCAGACUGAAUCACCAAUUAAGGAUUGCAAAAGCAUUGUAAAAGGUACAGUAUUUUGUGCCCUUAAUCUUAAUGCUUAAGAAGCAGAGGCAACGGGACCCCUGUGACCCAAGGCCAGCCUCAUCUAAACGGCAAGCCCAAUGCCAACCAGUGCUACACGCUACAGACUGAGGAACAGAGCAGCCAAGUUACUUCUAACACCAGCCAUCCAGAAAGUAACCUAGUGGAUAUGCCCAACGUCUGUCAGCUUUUGGAGUCUCCCCACGUCUACAUCCCAGUUUACAGCCAACUGUAGGAAUGACUACUGCCACCUCUGUCUUCUCACUAGGCUGGUAAGGCCAUCUGCAGUCACAAAGACGCAGGGCACAGUUAAACCCCAAUUCUGCAACCCAGGAACGAUGAGGACCAUUGCAAGCGGGCAGACCACACCGCAUCCCAACAGACCCUGCAUGUCAUACCUUUAAUUAGCAGUCACUGGGACUGCAGCCCAGAUGUAAUAAAUGAGAGUGGGUCAGAUGGCUGGCCUCAGGAAAGGUCCCCGGACACAGGACAAGGUUCAGUUCUCUAAUAGGAAAAACACGCCUGGCCUUUCCCAGCUCUCUGAAGAGUACUUUGGGCCUCUUAUUCAUGCUCAGGAUGGUAGCUGUGGGACACUGGAGAAAGACAUGCACCCCCUUAAUUAAAUCUGCCUUGUAA